RNAcentral lists this ribosomal RNA (899 nucleotides) under Mycolicibacterium mucogenicum 261Sha1.1M5. RNAcentral describes it as "bacterial LSU rRNA". It matches the Rfam family "Bacterial large subunit ribosomal RNA", at positions 2027 to 2925 of the family's 2925-position model. Lineage: Bacteria; Bacillati; Actinomycetota; Actinomycetes; Mycobacteriales; Mycobacteriaceae. The record is from RNAcentral.
GUAAACUCGGCGAAAUUGCAGUACGAGUAAAGAUGCUCGUUACGCGCAGAAGGACGGAAAGACCCCGUGACCUUUACUACAGCUUGGUAUUGGUGUUCGGUGUGGCUUGUGUAGGAUAGGUGGGAGACUGUGAAGCGGGCACGCUAGUGUUCGUGGAGUCAUUGUUGAAAUACCACUCUGGUCAUAUUGGAUAUCUAACGACGAACCCUGAUCGGGUUUUCGGACAGUGCCUGGUGGGUAGUUUAACUGGGGCGGUUGCCUCCCAAAAAGUAACGGAGGCGCCCAAAGGUUCCCUCAACCUGGUUGGCAAUCAGGUGGCGAGUGUAAGUGCACAAGGGAGCUUGACUGUGAGACUGACAGGUCGAGCAGGGACGAAAGUCGGGACUAGUGAUCCGGCAGUGGCUUGUGGAAGCGCUGUCGCUCAACGGAUAAAAGGUACCUCGGGGAUAACAGGCUGAUCUUGCCCAAGAGUCCAUAUCGACGGCAUGGUUUGGCACCUCGAUGUCGGCUCGUCGCAUCCUGGGGCUGGAGUCGGUCCCAAGGGUUGGGCUGUUCGCCCAUUAAAGCGGUACGCGAGCUGGGUUUAGAACGUCGUGAGACAGUUCGGUCCCUAUCCUCUGCGCGCGUUGGAAAUUUGAGAGGAUCUGACCCUAGUACGAGAGGACCGGGUUGGACGAACCUCUGGUGUGCCAGUUGUUCUGCCAAGGGCAUGGCUGGUUGGCUACGUUCGGGAUGGAUAACCGCUGAAAGCAUCUAAGCGGGAAGCCGGCCUCAAGAUGAGAUUUCCGUAGGAGUUUACUCCUGUGAGGCUCCCAGUAGAUGACUGGGUUGAUAGGCCAGAUGUGGAAGCGCGGUAACGUGUGGAGCUGACUGGUACUAAUAAGCCGAUGACUUGACUU